GAGUGAAGUGGGAAAAGCUCAAAUUUGAAAUCUGGCAGUCUGUUUUUUUCUCCUUUGGCUGUCCGAGUUGUAAUCUAGAGAAGUGCUUACCUGUACUGGACCAUGUAUAAGUCUCCUGGAAUGGAGCAUCACAGAGGGUGAGAAUCCCGUCUUUGACAUGGACUGCCAGUGCGUUGUGGUGUGCUCUCAAAGAGUCGAGUUGUUUGGGAAUGCAGCUCUAAAUGGGUGGUAAACUCCAUCUAAAGCUAAAUAUUGGCGAGAGACCGAUAGUGAACAAGUACCGUGAGGGAAAGAUGAAAAGGACUUUGGAAAGAGAGUUAAACAGUAUGUGAAAUUGUUGAAAGGGAAACACUUGAUGUCAGUUGUGUCAGCCAGGGAUCAACCUAGUUCUUUUUAGCUGGGUGAAUUUCCUAGUCUGACAGGCCAACAUCAGUUUUGAUUGCUAGAGAAAGGUGGAAGGAAUGUGGCACCCUCGGGUGUGUUAUAGCCUUCUAUCAAAUGUGGCAAUUGGGACUGAGGAAUGCAGCGUGCCGUAAGGCAGGGCUCUGACCACGUUCGCGCUUAGGAUGUUGGCUUUUAAUGGCUUCAAUUGACCCGUCUUGAAACACGGACCAAGGAGUCUAACAUGCCUGCGAGUGUUUGGGUGUGAAAAACCCUUGUGCACAAUGAAAGUAAAGGUUAAGAUCCCUGUCAUGGGGAGCAUUGACGCCCGGACCUGAGCUUUUAGCAAAGGAUCCGAGGUAGAGCAUGCAUGUUGGGACCCGAAAGAUGGUGAACUAUGCCUGAAUAGGGCAAAGCCAGAGGAAACUCUGGUGGAGGCUCGUAGCGAUUCUGACGUGCAAAUCGAUCGUUGAAUUUGGGUAUAGGGGCGAAAGACUAAUCGAACCAUCUAGUAGCUGGUUCCUGCCGA
RNAcentral lists this ribosomal RNA (910 nucleotides) under Amanita annulata. RNAcentral describes it as "partial large subunit ribosomal RNA". It matches the Rfam family "Eukaryotic large subunit ribosomal RNA", at positions 91 to 964 of the family's 3401-position model. The record is from RNAcentral. Lineage: Eukaryota; Fungi; Basidiomycota; Agaricomycetes; Agaricales; Amanitaceae.